Oncorhynchus tshawytscha (Chinook salmon) is the source of this 327-nucleotide long non-coding RNA. NCBI's taxonomy places the organism in Eukaryota, Metazoa, Chordata, Actinopteri, Salmoniformes, Salmonidae. The record is from Ensembl.
GAAAUCGAAACACUCCAUUUCCAUUUCAGAGGAACAACCUCCCACUAUCCAUUUGUAUAAACAUAUGAAUCCAUUUUGAUGAUGGUCCAUUUUUUGAAAAAGCCAAACGUGAUGAACAAAACGGAGCGAUUUCUCCUACACAAAUAAUCUUUUUGGAAAAACGGAACAUUUGCUAUCUAACUGAGAGUCUCCUCAUUGAAAACAUCCGAAGUUCUUCAAAGCUGAACCCCGCCUCUUCAGCUUGAUUGACAGCAUCAUGAUGACAAUUGCCAGGAUACAGACAAGAGGGAUGAAGAUGAGUAUAACUAAUCCAGUGGGGAAUCAGAC